RNAcentral lists this ribosomal RNA (301 nucleotides) under uncultured bacterium. RNAcentral describes it as "partial 16S ribosomal RNA". It matches the Rfam family "Bacterial small subunit ribosomal RNA", at positions 509 to 807 of the family's 1533-position model. The record is from RNAcentral.
CAGCAGCCGCGGGAACACAGAGGGUGCAAGCGUUAAUCGGAUUUACUGGGCGUAAAGGGCGCGUAGGUGGUUAUUUAAGUGAGAUGUGAAAGCCCCGGGCUUAACCUGGGAACUGCAUCUUAUACUGGGUAACUGGAGUGCAGUAGAGGGUAGUGGAAUUUCCGGUGUAGCGGUGAAAUGCGUAGAUAUCGGAAGGAACACCAGUGGCGAAGGCGGCUACCUGGACUGAGACUGACACUGAGGCGCGAGAGCGUGGGGAGCAAACAGGAUUAGAUACCCGAGUAGUCCCUGUCUCUUAUAC